UAAAUCUCAUAGGAGUUGGGAUGAAGAAGUUAUCCCACUUCUAAUCAGGUGAUUCCAGUUUUCCCGUUUGGGAAUAGGAAGCUUCUUCGUCGUUCCAAUCAAACCAGGAUGAAUCACUUUGUAAGAAGCUUGAUUUGGAUACAUAAAAUGGUGGAGAAACACCAGGAAGUUGAAUAAUCUCAUAGGAGUUGGAUGAAGAAGUUAUCCCACUUUCUAAUCAGGUGAUUCCAGUUUCCCAGUUUGGGAAUAGGACAGCUUCUCCGUCGUUCCAUCAAACCAGGAUGAAUCACUUUGUAAGAAGCUUGAUUUGGAUACAUAAAGUGGUGGAGAAUCAC
Long non-coding RNA from Brassica rapa (field mustard), 335 nucleotides. RefSeq lists it as uncharacterized. The record is from RefSeq and is a predicted model, not a curated record. NCBI's taxonomy places the organism in Eukaryota, Viridiplantae, Streptophyta, Magnoliopsida, Brassicales, Brassicaceae.